AGGAUGAACGCUGGCGGUCUGCUUAACACAUGCAAGUCGAACGGAGUAGCAAUACUUAGUGGCGGACGGGUGAGUAACGCGUGAGAAUCUACCUUCAGGACGGAGACAACAGUUGGAAACGACUGCUAACCCCCGAUGUACUGAAAAGGCAAAUAUUUAUAGCCUGAAGAAGAGCUCGCGUCCGAUUAGCUAGUUGGAGAGGUAAAAGCUCACCAAGGCGACGAUCGGUAGCUGGUCUGAGAGGACGAUCAGCCACACUGGGACUGAGACACGGCCCAGACUCCUACGGGAGGCAGCAGUGGGGAAUUUUCCGCAAUGGGCGAAAGCCUGACGGAGCAAGACCGCGUGGGGGAAGAAGGCUCUUGGGUUGUAAACCCCUUUCAGCAGGGACGAAGCGUGAGUGACGGUACCUGCAGAAGAAGCGCCGGCUAACUACGCGCCAGCAGCCGC
Molecule: ribosomal RNA, 450 nt
Filed under: uncultured bacterium
Lineage: Bacteria
Description: SSU rRNA
Rfam family: Bacterial small subunit ribosomal RNA
Source: RNAcentral